RNA transcript from Chroicocephalus ridibundus (black-headed gull), 4958 nucleotides. It is a transcript of the gene named neuronal pentraxin 1, with no coding region annotated. Lineage: Eukaryota; Metazoa; Chordata; Aves; Charadriiformes; Laridae. The transcript has 7 exons. The record is from RefSeq and is a predicted model, not a curated record.
GGGCCGCGUGCCGCAGUGGGCCCGGCGGAGAGCGGCGGCGCCGGGCCGGGGCGGGCGGUGGAGCGAUGGCGGCGGGGGCCCCCGGCAGCCGCCUCCUCCUGCUGCUGUCGCUGCUGUGGCUGCGCGGCCGCGGGCAGGGCUUCGGGCAGACGCGGUUCAUCUGCACUUCGGUGCCGCUGGACGGGGACAUGUGCGCCGCCACCGCCCCGGGCGGGGGUUCCGCCGAGGAGCUGAAGAGCACGGUGCUGCAGCUGCGGGAGACGGUGCUGCAGCAGAAGGAGACCAUCAUGAACCAGAAGGAGACCAUCCGGGAGCUGACGGCCAAGCUGGGCCGCUGCGAGAGCCAGAGCGUGCUGGAGGCGCUGCCCGGCGAGCCCAAGGGCGGCGGGACCGGCAGGAAAAGCGGCUUCUCCAAGAACACCAUGGGCGACCUGUCGCGGGCACCCGCCACCGAGACCCUCAGCCAGCUGGGACAGACGCUGCAGUCCCUCAAGACCCGGCUGGAGAACCUGGAGCAGUUCAGCAGGAUGAACUCCUCCGGCCAGACCAACAACCUGAAGGACAUCCUGCAGAACAAAAUCGACGACCUGGAGAAGCAGGUGCUGUCCCGGGUGAACAGCCUGGAGGAGGGCAAGUUCAACCCCAAGAACGAGUCCGAGGAGCGCGGCAAGAUCGAGAGCACCCUCACGUCGCUGCACCAGCGCAUCACCGACCUGGAGAAAGGCCAGAAGGACAACCGGCCCCCGGACAGGUUCCAGCUCACCUUCCCGCUGCGCACCAACUACAUGUACGCCAAGGUGAAGAAGAGCCUGCCCGAGAUGUACGCCUUCAGCAUCUGCAUGUGGAUCAAGUCCAACGCCUCCCCCGGCAUGGGCACCCCCUUUUCCUACGCCGUGCCUGGGCAGGCUAACGAGCUGGUGCUCAUUGAGUGGGGCAACAACCCCAUGGAGAUCCUCAUCAACGACAAGGUGGCCAAACUGCCCUUUGUCAUCAACGAUGGCAAGUGGCACCACAUCUGCGUCACCUGGACCACACGGGAUGGCGUGUGGGAAGCCUACCAGGACGGCACGCAGACGGGCAGCGGCGAGAACCUGGCGCCCUACCACCCCAUCAAGCCCCAGGGGGUCCUGGUCCUGGGCCAAGAGCAGGACACACUGGGCGGUGGGUUUGACGCCACACAGGCCUUCGUGGGGGAGCUGGCCCACUUCAACGUGUGGGACAGGAAGCUGAGCCCCGGGGAGGUGUACAGCCUGGCCACCUGCAGCACCCGCGCGCUUGCCGGCAACGUCAUCGCCUGGGCAGAGGCCAACAUUGACAUCUAUGGCGGGGCCACCAAGUGGACUUUCGAGGCCUGUCGCCAGCUCAACUAGGGCCACGGACAAGCGAGAGAAACCUUCUCAUCGUGUUCUUUUCUUUCUUUUUUUUUUUUUUUUUGUCCUCUUUUUUUUUUUUUUUUUUUUGCGCAAAACAACAACCGAGAACGAAGCCACCCGUCUUGUCCUGAGGAGUGGGGGCUGCCCCCAGAGCCCCACGACCCUCCGGUUUCUGUCUUGCCAAUGUCCUUCAACGCCUGCGUGCCUUGGCCUGGCGUGGCUGCACCCCCCCCCCCCCCAGCCUCUGCUGUCCCCCCCUGGGCCCAGCCCCCGCUUUGCCGCCUUUCCCCCCUACCCCGGGGUGGCCCCACUUUCCCUGGGCACCGGUGCCCAGACCAGAGCCCCCCCCGGGGCUCCUCUCCCUCCGGCCUGAAGCCCCCCUGGGAGGAUGGUGCCCCUGGAGCCGGAGGAGGGUUGCAACAUCCCCUCCCUGGUUGCACCCCUGGGGCUCCGAGGAGGGGGUGACCUCCCGUUCCCACACCCCACACACCCCCACCCCCGGGUAAGGGAACCCCCGCUUCCCCGGCCGGCGCCGCUCCCGAGCACCACAGCCAUAGCCCCGGGCUGCGGCGGGCACUGGGACGGGCCCCCCCGGAUGGGCAUCCCCCCCCGCCGGCCCCGCUCCCCAACCUGCCGCACUCAGGUACGUCCCCCCGGCCCCCCCCCCGUCUGCAGCCCCCCGAGGCCUCCUACGCGCCGUAGCUGGUGAAAAAUAGCCUUUACCGUCCCCUGGAAGUUUAGCUACCACUGAAAAGUCUGAAGCCUUUCUGCUUUUGAUAAUACACUAUGUUGUUUCUCUUACUGUAAAGGGAAGUUUAUUAUCAAUAAAAAAAAAAGGGUAUUUUUAUGAAGAUAAAAAAAAAAUAUAGAAUUAAGCAGUGCUCCCUGAGGAAAAAAAAAAAGUACUUUGAGAUUCUGCAGGAAAAAAAGAGAUAAAGAAGCGUAUUUUGAAAUAAUAGAUGCAUUUUGUAUGGUUUCCUUUUCUAAACUCCUGGUUUGUACUACAGAUUGCCGAAAUCACCCCCCAGCCCCCCCCACUGACCCCCCGAGGGCCGCCCUGGGUGGCAGUGGGGGACGAGGCAGAGAAUUCACACAGGGCUCCAGAGCCUCCCCGACCAACUCCAAAGAUGUGGCAAAGAGACGCGCAGAGCGGAGGAGCCCGCAGGGAGCCGGGCAAGGCCACGGCCGCCCCGGGCCAGCGGCACCGAGCUGGCCCGGCCACCGUCGCUCCGGGGAGCCAGCGCCCAGCCGGAGAGCAGCACGGGCAGCGACACCCCCCCGCAACGAGAGACCUUCCUGCGAACUGUGGCUCAGGGCAGCAGAUUUUAAACCGUGCUCUUUUUAUUAAAAAAAAAAAAAAAAAAAAAAAAAAAGAAGAGAGAGAGAGAGAAAAAGGUGGUGAGUUACUUUAAGUUCCUCCUAAGAACCUGCUCCCGUCAGCACAGCGAGAGGCACAACCUGCUGAGAACAACAAGACCACAGAAAAGGUUUAACCUCCAGUCCCAGACGCAGGCUGGCAGCUCAGCUCCCUCGGGCCGCCCCUGCCGCGCUGGCGGGGACAGUGACACCCCGCAGUGCCCGAUGCCCGUCGGCUCCCUGCAGCGAACGUUCCCGGUGCGGCAGGAGCCACGCUCAGGGCAUCUCGCUCGUCCCUGGGGAAGCGGGGCUGGACUCCGGAGCCUGUUCCUGGAAAGCGUCGCUGUAGAGGACACAUCGGAGCGCGGGGGUGACGCUGGGGCGCGUGGCUGGAGGCCACCCCUGCGUCACGGACACGAGGACCUGGCGGCGCGGCGGCGUGUGCUGUUCCCGAGUAAUUGCUACAAAUUCCCCCUUGUUGCGCACCUGCUGCAGAACAGACUUGGCGGAUACACUGCUUUCAGCGUCGGAUACAAGCAGGAAAACCAUGAUUUACUCCUUAUAACCAGCCAGAAACAAUUCCCCGCACCCGUGACUCCCCCCAUCCCGUCGCAGCUGGGAAGGGCAGCUGUCUGGGUCCCAUUCAGUGCUGCUGCCUCGGGCACCACGCAGCCCCUGGGGACACCAGCACUCCCCUUCCUUCCUCCCUAAGAGCAAGGACGCGGUGACACAGCCCGGAGGGACGCAGAGCCCUGGCUGCUUGUGCCCGGUGGGGCUCAGCUCCGGGGCUGGCGGGGGCCGGGGGGGAGGCUCCCGCGGCCGCUUGUGCUGCAUCUUCCUGAGCAUCAGCUACAGCCAACUGCAGCCUCUGCUAACGGCAUCCCUGAGCCGUCCCACCACCUCCUGCAUCUCCCUCUGACAGGGAACAGCCACCCCAGGGUGUCCCUCUCCUUCAGGGAGGAGGGGGUUGAGUCACCGUCCCUAGAGGUAUUUAAGAAACGUGCAGAUUUGGCACUUCGGGGCAUGCUCUAGUGGCAGAGAUUGUAGGUUGUUUGUUGUGGUUUUUUUUUUUUUUUGGUUGGUUAUUUUUUGGGGGUUUUUUUUUGUUUUUUUGGUGUGUGUAUGGUUGGACCCGAUGAUCUCAAAGGUCCCUUCCAACCAUGACGAUUCUGUGAUUCACCUGGCACCUGCCAGCCUCAAAAAGCCUCUUUUCCUUGGGAGGGUUUGCUCCUGCGACUGCUCCAGGGCCUUUGAGGAAUCUCUCGAGUCAUACCCAGACAGCCAAGUAUGGUUAUGUAUUUCAGCAUACGAGUAACCAUAUGAGUACGUAACCACACGAGUCACAACCACACAUAACCACACAGCCGACAGCGAACCGGGCGAGGGAGAGACGGGGGAUGCCUCAAGCCAAACUGCAGGUUUGGGGACCCGGCCUGUUUUCUGUCCGCCAGCCACGGGCAGAAGCAGAUGCAGAAUUACCAGCGCCGGGUACCCUUGGCAGAGGAUGGUCAGCGUCAGGAAUCCUCCUUGGGGCAAGAGUCACUCUUGCAGGUGAUUAGAGAGGAGGCGCAGAUGGGCUGCCAAGGCUGGAGGUGGGCAGGAUGGGGAGCAGCACAGGCACAGGAAUUAAAGCCGGGGCGCGAUGCCAGAGGACACAGAAGGGGUGCUGAAGUGAACGGUGCAACCAAGAGUUUCCCCGCUCCACGAUGCCCCAGAUCCUCCCCAGGUGCAGAGCUGAUUUAGACCGGCAUCUUGACAACCUUACAAAGGCAUCAGCGUUGCAGAGCUCCAGCCAGAAACGCCUUCCCCAGGCAGCUCCGCUCUCCUCCCCGGCCCCGGAGCGGAGCUCAGCCCUCUCCGGCGACGCAGACACCAUCCCCUUCCCCCCCGCCCCCGAAAACCAGCUGCUCCAAGGACAGGCUGCUUGGUUUCGUGUCACUGGGAACAGCCUACAUCUUUGCAAGGGGAAUGCUAUUUUUACCCAGGGAACGGGUGGCAGCUCCUGGAUUGUUCUCAGCCACCGCCAGCCCACCUGGCCCUGCCCCGGCUCCGAGCAGGGCCCUGCCCAUGGCGACAACCGUCUUCUCGGCUUCACCCAGCCACCCCAGGCGCCGAGAUAAAGCUACAGAGCCCACCCGCUACCGCAGGAGAGGGAAGCGGUACCCUCAGCUGGAGGCUUGUGCUGCACUACAAUUUAAACUGCAAUAAAAAAACAAACCCAAAAUUACA